Long non-coding RNA from Motacilla alba alba, 2848 nucleotides. RefSeq lists it as uncharacterized. The transcript is spliced from 2 exons. NCBI's taxonomy places the organism in Eukaryota, Metazoa, Chordata, Aves, Passeriformes, Motacillidae. The record is from RefSeq and is a predicted model, not a curated record.
AGAAAGUAAAUCCUGAAAACGGUGACUAAACCCAGCCAUCUCUCCUUAUGGAAACACUUUCCCACCUUCUUAAACCUUUUUGGAGGCACGAGGGAAAAUAACCCUUGUAUUUAUGCAAAUUUCAAAGUGGCGUGUGAUGAUGGAAACAAAACAGUGCUGGAGCGCAGCCAAGGCAUGGCACCGACGGGGCCUCUCAGCUGCUCGCCUCCCGAUUCUUCGGGGGAAGCAGCUGUAGAGAAAUGAAAAUACAGAAGCCCCCGCACACACCCGCCGCCGCCCGCGCGCAUUCCAGCACCCGUCACCUCGGAGGCGGCAGGAUGCGGGCUCUGGCCAGGCGCUGCCUGCAGCCUGGAGCACCCUGUCGUCCCCCACAAGCCUCCCUGUCCCGCUGUUCCCGAUUCCCCUUUCAGGAAUUUACAAACAUUUUCCGCAGAUCAAUAUCUGUAUUGAUUAUUCAUUGUGAGCGAGUCGUGUGUCUUUGGUGAUCCAACCUGGCAGAGUGAGCAGCCAAAGGCUGCAGCAGAUACAGGGAGGGAAAAAGAGGAGGAAAAAGCCCUACAGAAGGCAAGAGAGACCCAGAUCUGGCUGGGUUUGCUGCUGCCAGCAAUGGAGACGGAUGGAGAGGAAGGAAGGAAGAAAAUGGGAAUGGCAUGAAAGGGAAUGAAGAGACGGAGAGCCGAGGAGAAAAAGCGAGAGCAGGAAAAACAAAGUCACCGCUGGAGAACUGGUGCCGGGGCACGCCGGCAGCCUGGAGAGAUUCCAACCUUGUGCUCGCCCUUCUGCACAGGGAUGCGAUGGACUUAUUGCUUCGGGAGUGAAAAGUGACUCACGGUUUUGGUAUCUGCUACGUAAGAGCUUUGGGGGGAUUCCUUGGCUGGCUGACAGAAAGGGAAGAAAGCAGCAGCAGUGAGGUAAAACGCGAUCCCUUCCUCCUGCCUUCCUGGGAAUACGCGUCGCCCGGGCUGGCUGGAGCAGCUCGCUGCUCGCUUAUGAUAUGCAAAAGGAGAAUAAUUAAAAGCGCCAGCAUCACUUGCAAAGUGAGUAAACACAAAGCCUUUCAAAACAUGCUCUUCAGCUAAUGAGAAGCUGUAAUUUCUUAUACUUAAAGGCAAAAAAGACCCUGAUGAGGCUCGGUGGAGUGUGCGCGCGCGCCUGCGUGUGUGUGCAUGUGUUUGUAGAUAUGAGAGAAUCAGUUAAUUGUUGAUGAUGUUUAGAAAAGGGAUUAUGAGAAAAGACACUGAAAUGAUGACAGGGAACAUCUUGGAUCAGAGCCAGAGAAAUAAAAUAAUCAAGGACAAUCAAGCCUGCAGCUCCGGAGAAAGCGCCGACUGUUCUGCCAGGGACUUGGAAGGAAUUUCCCCGCGCUGCCGAGCUGCAGCUGGAAUACGUGCUUGGCACCAGGAGAGAGAACUGCAAGGAGCAGUUUGCUUGGAGCAUGAGACCACAGAAGAGAGAACUAUGGAGCUCUGCUAUAAUUCAGAGGGUAAACAGCUUUGUCUGCUUAUGUGUCAGGUGGAGACUUGAUUUUGUCCAUAUCUGACCUGCCCUGAAAACGCAACUUCUGAAAUCCCCUGGCUGAAGCCGGAGCUGAGGAUUCUCCAGACGCCUCUCCAGAACUACUGUGACGUUAUGAAAACAAAGGAAAGGGAGCCAGAGGAAUUAAGUUCUCCUGUGGCUGCAGGACCUGAUGGACCUGACCAUGGAAACAGUCUCGGGAAUAGAUUCCUUCCUUAAUUCUGGAAAUCAGGACCCCCUUGCUCCAGCUGGGGAUUGCAGCACAAACACACAGGAAAGGUGGCGGUCAUCGGGAAUACCAGGAGCAAGCUUUCCUUCCAACCUGGGCAUCUAGCUGCUGUCCUGAACGGAUGGAUUUUAAUAAAUGUUGGCUUUCUCUUGGCCUGAGGUUGGGUGGGGAGAGAGAAUAAAGGGAAAUUUAAACCAUCCUGUGACUGCCGUGUUGUCAGUGAGCUACAGAAAUGCUGUUCCUUUGUUUUGGAUGCUAAACUCCGUCUGACUUCAUUGUUGCUGGAUUUUGGCACGUUACACUCUGGGCUUCUCCAGCAGCAGAAACACAUGGUCUAUUAAAGUGGGAAUCUUUGGGGACGCGGAGGCAGAGGAACGAGCCAAUCAUACGUGGCUUUUGCACAUUCCCUGUUUUCCAGCUUUGCGGAAAGCUUUCCGGAUGGUGCGGAUGACCCUAGAAAUUCAUUAACAGCAAUGAAAGACGGGAUGCAAAAACCUAUAAUGAAAACAAAUGAUGUAUUUAAACGGUGCUGGGGCUGAAAGGAGGGGGUUCGUGGCGCCGGGAGCAGAGGAGGAGGAAAUCCUGCCACCUGGAAAAUGCCUGGACAUGCGUGUCCUUCCCCGUGCCAAGGCUCCAAGGAGACAGUUACUACAAAGCCGGUGGUGUGUGUAAAGAUGUCGUAGCAUUGUCUUUACAGAGCCUCAAACAAAUACCAGCGACUGGUCAGAAGGAGAGCUCGGUGCUCAUUGUCCCCGCUCCGGCUGCCGGCAAUGCCGGAAUUCCUCCCUGGUACUCGAUGGGCUCUAAUUAGAAACAACUUGCAAUGCCCGUAAAGGUUUAAAAUCACUCGGGUUCGUCCACACGGCUCCUCUGCCCGGGCCCAGCAGUGUCCCUCAGCAGCAGCCCUGACGGGAAGGUGUGGUGGCCAGGGGGACGGCACGGACCAGGCGCCACCACUGUCCUGGACCUGGCCUCGGGAUGCUGGACCUGACACCAGGCUCUUCAGGUGUCUUCCUCUCCUGUGUUAUUUCUUAGACAGGUCAUUUCACAAAUGUUACUGUCCCCUAAAGUGUCACGUGGUUGUGAGAAUAAAAAGAUUUAUUC